UAGGGAAUCUUCCACAAUGGGCGAAAGCCUGAUGGAGCAACGCCGUGUGUGUGAUGAGGGGUUUCGGCUCGUAAAACACUGUUGUAAGAGAAGAAUGACAUUGAGAGUAACUGUUCAAUGUGUGACGGUAUCUUACCAGAAAGGAACGGCUAAAUACGUGCUAG
This 164-nucleotide ribosomal RNA is filed under the name uncultured bacterium. Its description in RNAcentral is "partial 16S rRNA". It matches the Rfam family "Bacterial small subunit ribosomal RNA", at positions 355 to 511 of the family's 1533-position model. The record is from RNAcentral.